RNAcentral lists this ribosomal RNA (446 nucleotides) under uncultured bacterium. RNAcentral's name for it is "partial 16S ribosomal RNA". It matches the Rfam family "Bacterial small subunit ribosomal RNA", at positions 338 to 795 of the family's 1533-position model. The record is from RNAcentral.
CCUACGGGAGGCAGCAGUAGGGAAUUUUCGGCAAUGGGGGGAACCCUGACCGAGCAACGCCACGUGAACGAAGAAGUUAUUCGUAAUGUAAAGUUCUUUUAACAGGGAAGAAAGAGAAAUUUGACGGUACCUGAAGAAUAAGCUCCGGCUAACUACGUGCCAGCAGCCGCGGUAAUACGUAGGGAGCGAGCGUUAUCCGGAAUUAUUGGGCGUAAAGGGUGCGUAGAUGGAAUAGUAAGUCUUUUGUAAAAAUGCUGGGCUCAACCCAGUAGGGCAAAAGAUACUGCAAAGCUAGAGUAUGACAGAGGUAAGGGGAACUACAUGUGUAGCGGUAAAAGGCGUAAAUAUAUGUAAGAACCCCAGUGGCGAAGGCGGCUUGCCGGGUCGAUACUGACAUUGAGGCACGAAAGCGUGGGGAGCAAACAGGAUUAGAUACCCGUGUAGUC